AAUUUGGUCCAUUACAAAGAAGAAAUAAAGCCCCGUAGGGUUGAUUUUGCUAACUGAUCGGUUUCCCGAUUCAGAUCACGAGAUAGGUGCGAUGCUGAGAAAUUCACAAAGGUUGAAGCGAACUUGAGGAUAUCAGUGACAAUUCCUAUUAUCUCUUUCACCUGUUGCUGCUGAUUAAUAGCUCUGAUGAGCGUUUGAUUGUCGGAGCAAACUCUAAUUGAUGUGAUCUCAAGAGAAGCUGCAUGAUAGAGACUUGAACGAACGGCGAGAGCUUCUGCUAUCAAAGGGGAACUUACGAAGUCGUGAAUCAGAGAUCCCUUGUUUGGUUCCCGGAGUGGUGAGACCGGUGAAGAUCCACGCAAGGCCUGCUGUUUGGUGUUCCUCGUUCCAAGCCGCAUCUGUUUUUGCAAAUGAUUUGUCCAGUGACCGGUGAAGCCAUAGCUUGUCGUUUUAUUCCAGCACCAGUGUCUUCCGGUGUCGCCUCUUUGUUUUCAAAGAGCAAGAGAUUGCAAAUUUUCCAUAAUGCCCAACAGAUCCACGGAAGUGUCGGGCUUGAUAUUCCAGAUGGAGGAAGACAUAUGAUGUUUUGAAGCCUCUGAGGACCUUUUUAAUGCUCCAAAGACACUUUAUCUCAAUUUUGUAACUCAUUGUUAACUUAUUCAAUUUAGUCUUAAAACACACAAUUGACUAACCUAACUACACAUGUGGCGGGAGAAAUAUAAACGGAAACCCUAAAACUCUCUCUCCCAACCUAAGAGCCGCCUCAGCUUCAUCUUCUAGAUCUGAAGUCUUCUCCGGCAUGCGCUCCUCGCCGUGCUGUGAGAGGACCUCCUUGCUCUCUCCUUUCUAGUAAUUGGUCUUGUGUAGUCAUCUGAGUUUCGACGGUGGUGGUUGGUGAUGGAGGUUUAUCCGACGAUGGUGGUGCUUUGGGUAUUAGAGCGGUGUCUAGACGAUGGUUCGUCUUCGGUGAGGUCGGCUUCUGUGUCAUGGUGUGCUCUUUCCGCGUGUGAGUGAUGGGGAAGCUGAUUUUAGAUCCGAAUGGGUUUGAGUUUGGAUCGAUGGUGUCGGAUGGCCUCUGUUUCUCGCUUAUCACAGGUUGUGGCUUGGUUUGUAGUAGUUUUAUCUCUUGCAGUCAAGAUUAGUGUGUUGGUUGCUAGGUUUCUGGUUUGUUAAGUUUUGUGAAUCAAGAUUAACCUGUUUGUGCGAUGGGUUUCUCUUCGGUUUUAUGCUUUGUUGAGGUUUUCACUGAAGUAGCUUUGGUUCUAAUGGUGUUCUCUGUUUGGUUUGGACUGCCCUUGUUAAACCUUAUCUUUUUUCUGGUUUGCGGUGGAAGUACUUAGCCGGUUCAGAUGUGGGGUCUUCAUUGUUUGGGGUUGGUUUGGCAGUCUUUCAAGCAAGGCAUCAGAGGUCUCUUAGUUCUUCAUUCCAGUCGCAACACCUCAUCUUCAGUUCUUGGUUGAUUCAUAUGAAUUCUUGUCAGCCUUGUUCGAGUGUAAGUUUAUGUGGAAUGACUUCAGUUUUAGUUUAUAUUCAGAGUUCUCUUCUGGAUCCACUUGAAGAUCUAUCUGGAUUUAUUUGUGCUACAAUAUGGAUGGACUGAUGUAAGUUCCGACUGGUUACUGCGUGAACUUUGAGGAUCCUCCACAUUUAUGCUUUAGCUUUUUGGAUAGAAGUUUAUUUCAGGUCAUCUACAUGUUUCUCCGACCUGUUCCUAUCCUUUAGGGAGAUCGAUGUGCUUUGCUCUUUGGACUGCUCGAGGCUGUUUUCUUUCUUACAUCUUGGCUUUUGGCUGAUUUUAGAAUUUUUUGUCAUCAUUUCUAUGUAGUUGUCUAGUAGUUUAUCGCUUAUGGCUCUGGAAAGAUUUCGAUCUUUGCCGGCUUCUGGCUCUGGAAGAAAAGUGUUUUUUGCCGGUUUAUGUGUAUUCGACUGCAUUUCAUCCAUUUUAAUAUUAAUCCAAUCGAUGACAAAAAAAAAAUUACACAUGUGGCGGGACUUAACCUCAGCCACACAUCCCUCGUACCUCUCAAAGGCUAAGAUCAUCUGUUAGACAUCUUGACAAGACAUAUAUCUACCUAAUUUUUCAGUCAUCAGAUUUACUUUUGUAUUUUUAGCAUGAAUGGUCAAGAUAAAUCCAAUGAUAUUAAGUUAAUUACUCUAGAUUCAUCUUCUUCGUCAUUACUUUUUUUACAGAAGAAUCCAAAAUCUGAUAUUCUUGUCCAUAAUCAAUUAGAUAAUUGUUUCUUGAUGUGUAGUAACCUAAGUUACCUAACAACGACGCCGCAGCAGAGAGUCUCAUCGUCACCAAAUUCCUUACCGCCAUGGACGCCGUCUCUCCACUUGUGGAAGCUAAAGGCUACAGCCAAGUACUCAACAGCACCAGAAACUUGACAGUCUAUGCUUACAGAGUGUAUGAAAGAUCUUCACAAGACAGACUUGGACUUAUGUUUUGCUCAGAUAAAAGCUAAAUCCCUCGUUGCUUACCCUUUCAACGUCGUGGUGGCCGAGUCUUCUCCGAUGGAUGCUUCAUCAGGUACGACGAGUACAACUUCUUCAGCAAGACGUUAAGCUCACAAGACUAUACUAUUUGUUCUAAAAGGGAGAAAAACGUGGAAGAUGAUCUGUCUGACUAUGGGCCUGUUUGUUUCUCCAUCUGGGUCUGGAUGGGCCAUCUGGAUGAAGAUGAGAAUUUUAUUUGCUUAUACACUAAAAGUGUAACUCAUUCAGAUGGAUCAUCCGGAUGACUUUUGAAAAUUUAGGCUUAAUUUUAAAGUCCAUUCAGCUGAACCAAUUUGGAUCAUUUGAAUGGAGAUGGUUCAUUCAAAAAGGUACAAUGUCUAUUAUACCCCUAAUGUAAUUCACAAAUUACAAACCUAAACAUAAUAUCAUUUUUGUCACAAACGAAAACUGACAAAACUACAAAAAC
Brassica oleracea var. oleracea is the source of this 2923-nucleotide long non-coding RNA. RefSeq lists it as uncharacterized. NCBI's taxonomy places the organism in Eukaryota, Viridiplantae, Streptophyta, Magnoliopsida, Brassicales, Brassicaceae. The record is from RefSeq and is a predicted model, not a curated record. The transcript has 3 exons.